GACGAACGCUGGCGGCGUGCUUAACACAUGCAAGUCGAACGGAAAGGCUCCAGCUUGCUGGAGUGCUCGAGUGGCGAACGGGUGAGUAACACGUGGGCAAUCUGCCCUGCACUCUGGGAUAAGCCUGGGAAACUGGGUCUAAUACCGGAUAGGACCUCUCUCCUCAUGGGGUUUGGUGGAAAGUUUUUCGGUGCAGGAUGAGCCCGCGGCCUAUCAGCUUGUUGGUGGGGUAAUGGCCUACCAAGGCGACGACGGGUAGCCGGCCUGAGAGGGUGAUCGGCCACAUUGGGACUGAGGUACGGCGCAGACUCCUACGGGAGGCAGCAGUGGGGAAUAUUGCACAAUGGGCGAAAGCCUGAUGCAGCGACGCCGCGUGAGGGAUGACGGCCUUCGGGUUGUAAACCUCUUUCAGUAGGGACGAAGCGCAAGUGACGGUACCUGCAGAAGAAGCACCGGCUAACUACGUG
Molecule: ribosomal RNA, 467 nt
Filed under: uncultured bacterium
Lineage: Bacteria
Description: partial 16S ribosomal RNA
Rfam family: Bacterial small subunit ribosomal RNA
Source: RNAcentral